ACUAUUUUGGCAGAUAAAUGCAAUAAAUUUAGAAUUUAUUUAUAUAAUAUAGUAUUAUAAAUAGUA
Molecule: transfer RNA, 66 nt
Filed under: Phlebotomus papatasi
Lineage: Eukaryota; Metazoa; Arthropoda; Insecta; Diptera; Psychodidae
Also listed under: 1 other name
Description: tRNA-Leu
Source: RNAcentral